UUCAAAAAACAUAAAAUAUACAAUAGUAAAGUCUAUGACACAACACAAACUGUAGAAGAAAAAAUAUAUAAAGAUUGAUUCACAGUGACAGAAAUUCCUUCAAAUAAUAUGAAGGUUAUUUCAUAGAUGUAUAGGUAUGCACCGGAAUUAUUGUCCUUUAGUGUUUUUAGACUUAAAAUUGAUUUUUAAAAAAGGUUUUAUUGAGACAAAUUGGUACCAAAAACCAUAUUCCUCGGGUAGAUAUUUAAAUUUUUGGUCCAACCAUCAUAUUAAUAUUAAAAAGGGAAUCAUAUUUUCUUUGGUGGAUAAAACUAUUUUACUAUCUGAACCACAUUUCCAUGCUGAAAAUUUAAAUUUUAUUUUUGAAAAAUUAAAACAAAACAACUACCCUUAUAAUUUCAUAAAAAAGAAUAUCGAUCAAAGAAUACAAUUUUUGACUUUGAAAAAUAAUAAUAAUAACGUUAUAAAUUUUGACAGAAAAUUGAUCGAACCUUCACGCACUAUAGUAAUUCCAUAUGUGCCUGAUAUUCUCAAACCAACCAUAAACCUAUGUAAAAAAUUAAAUAUCUCAAUAGUCUUUUCAACCCUUAUGAAACUUCAUAACAAUUUACUUCCAUCCCCUAAGGACAGAAUUCCAAAAUUCGAGAAGACCAACGUUAUAUAUAAAUUAAGUUGUAAUGAUUGUAACGGCAUAUAUAUUGGCCAGACAAUACAAGAACUAAGAAAAAGAGUUUCUGCUCAUAAACAUUCACAACUACGCAAAAAGACCAACACAGCGUUAUGUAAACACUCUACGAAUUUAAAACAUACAUUUUGCUUCGACCAAAACAGCGUUAAAAUCUUAGAUGUCGAAGGUUCUUAUAGAAACAGAAACUUUUUAGAAAUGUAUUACAUCGCAAAGGACUCAAAUUCCGUAAAUUUCCGAACUGAUAUUGACAAUCUAUCAAUAAUGUAUUUUGAUAUUAUUGGAACAUGUGAUAGAAUUUCGAACACUAAAGGACAAUAAUUCCGGUGCAUACCUAUACAUCUAUGAAAUAACCUUCAUAUUAUUUGAAGGAAUUUCUGUCACUGUGAAUCAAUCUUUAUAUAUUUUUUCUUCUACAGUUUGUGUUGUGUCAUAGACUUUACUAUUGUAUAUUUUAUGUUUUUUGAAAUUGUAUCACUGUCCUUUGUAAUGAUGAGCACAUGUGUUAUUUAUUUUGUUUAUUAUUUUUAUGUUUAUUUAUCAAUUUGGAAUGUUCUGUUGGAUUUUUAUUUGUUAUAAAAUGAAGGAAGUCUCGAUGGUUCUUGUUCAAACAAGAAUCCAGUAAAUCCGAACAAAUUUUAUUCCAUUUUUUGACAGGUCUCGAUUUUGAGGUUAUGUUGGCCUUUAAAAACUUUUCGAAUUUAAAUUUUUUAAAAGUUUUAUAAAUUUGUAUCAUUGAACAAUGUGUCCUGAUGAGCUGUGUUCACAGUGAAAAUGCAUUCGAUGAAAUAAAGUAAUAAUUGCUGAUUUUUAACAACUUUCUCAAAUCUUUUGGACCCAAGGCCACAAUAUAAACAAUUUUAUUUGA
Leptopilina heterotoma is the source of this 1553-nucleotide long non-coding RNA. RefSeq lists it as uncharacterized. The record is from RefSeq and is a predicted model, not a curated record. NCBI's taxonomy places the organism in Eukaryota, Metazoa, Arthropoda, Insecta, Hymenoptera, Figitidae. The transcript is spliced from 2 exons.